Non-coding RNA from Drosophila melanogaster (fruit fly), 680 nucleotides. The record is from Ensembl. Lineage: Eukaryota; Metazoa; Arthropoda; Insecta; Diptera; Drosophilidae.
AGCGUGCCUGUGUGUGUUCGAAACUUUUAUUGUCAGCACAAACAGACACAAACUCACACACACACACACACACUAGCCCAUACACAUACACAGAGAGCCAUGCUUGAGCGAAGGAUAAAAUGCUGCAAAUUCACGGCAACAACAAGGAGAGCAGCAGCAGCAGUCUGAACGUGGCCCACGGUACGUAUACGUAUCCAUCAGAUAGAAAAGGCAUCGAGCAGCCGCAUGCUGAAAUAAUGAAGCAGCAAGGACUCGACUCGACUCAGCACAAGGCAAGGCAAGGCAAGGCAUGGCAUGGCAAGGAAAGGCACUGAUGGCAAGGAUGGCAACGAUGGCAGGCAAGGAUACGAGGAUAGCCAGGCAGAGGAAGACUUGGCCAGAAUGAAAACGAAAAUGGAAAAUGUGUACGGGUCUGUCUCGCAGUUGCCGCGUGUAUAUGUGUGCGGCUCUGUGAAAGGACGACAAGGAUAUUGCGCACGAGGACAGGAUGGCUGCCUGACUGCCUUGCCUUACCAUUCCGUUCCUUGCCUCGCCUUGGUGUUGAUGAUGAUUACAGAGAUGCGCAGAGAUAGAAGCGAGCUGAACUGAAGCUGAAUCUGAGGAUGUGUCCACACUGAGAGAAAUGCAGCAACUAGCCGUCGGAUAUUUUCGCAUACAUUAUUUUUAUUUCGUCGAGAACU